UACGUAGGUGGCAAGCGUUAUCCGGAAUUACUGGGCGUAAAGCGCACGCAGGCGGCUUUUCAAGUUCGACGUGAAAGCUCCCGGCUUAACUGGGAGAGGUCGUUGAAGACUGAGAGGCUUGAGGCAAGGAGAGGGGUGUAGAAUUCCCGGUGUAGUGGUGGAAUGCGUAGAUAUCGGGAGGAAUACCAGUGGCGAAAGCGGCACCCUAGCCUUGUGCUGACGCUCAUGUGCGAAAGCGUGGGGAGCGAACGGGAUUAGAAACCCCCGUAGUCC
RNAcentral lists this ribosomal RNA (273 nucleotides) under uncultured bacterium. Its description in RNAcentral is "partial 16S ribosomal RNA". It matches the Rfam family "Bacterial small subunit ribosomal RNA", at positions 524 to 796 of the family's 1533-position model. The record is from RNAcentral.